UGCAAGUCGAACGGCAGCACGGGGGCAACCCUGGUGGCGAGUGGCGAACGGGUGAGUAAUACAUCGGAACGUGUCCUGUAGUGGGGGAUAGCCCGGCGAAAGCCGGAUUAAUACCGCAUACGCUCUGCGGAGGAAAGCGGGGGAUCCUUCGGGACCUCGCGCUACAGGGGCGGCCGAUGGCAGAUUAGCUAGUUGGUGGGGUAAAGGCCUACCAAGGCGACGAUCUGUAGCUGGUCUGAGAGGACGACCAGCCACACUGGGACUGAGACACGGCCCAGACUCCUACGGGAGGCAGCAGUGGGGAAUUUUGGACAAUGGGCGCAAGCCUGAUCCAGCAAUGCCGCGUGUGUGAAGAAGGCCUUCGGGUUGUAAAGCACUUUUGUCCGGAAAGAAAACCUCGUGGUUAAUACCCGUGGGGGAUGACGGUACCGGAAGAAUAAGCACCGGCUAACUACGUGCCAGCAGCCGCGGUAAUACGUAGGGUGCAAGCGUGAAUCGGAAUUACUGGGCGUAAAGCGUGCGCAGGCGGUUCGCUAAGACAGAUGUGAAAUCCCCGGGCUUAACCUGGGAACUGCAUUUGUGACUGGCG
This 589-nucleotide ribosomal RNA is filed under the name uncultured bacterium. RNAcentral describes it as "bacterial SSU rRNA". It matches the Rfam family "Bacterial small subunit ribosomal RNA", at positions 56 to 638 of the family's 1533-position model. The record is from RNAcentral.